Molecule: transfer RNA, 74 nt
Filed under: Eubacterium limosum
Lineage: Bacteria; Bacillati; Bacillota; Clostridia; Eubacteriales; Eubacteriaceae
Also listed under: 1 other name
Description: tRNA-Met
Rfam family: tRNA
About the family: Transfer RNA (tRNA) molecules are approximately 80 nucleotides in length. Their secondary structure includes four short double-helical elements and three loops (D, anti-codon, and T loops).
Source: RNAcentral
CGCGGGGUGGAGCAGCUUGGUAGCUCGUCGGGCUCAUAACCCGGAGGUCGUAGGUUCAAAUCCUGCCCCCGCAA